AGGGCUGUAGCUGAGUGGUAGAGUGUUUGCCUCGCAUGCAAAAGGUUUCAGGUUCAAUCCCUGGCAUCUCCA
This is a non-coding RNA of Podarcis muralis (Common wall lizard), 72 nucleotides long. The record is from the annotation of a RefSeq genome assembly. Lineage: Eukaryota; Metazoa; Chordata; Lepidosauria; Squamata; Lacertidae.